RNAcentral lists this ribosomal RNA (429 nucleotides) under Chloroflexota bacterium. RNAcentral describes it as "Chloroflexi bacterium partial 16S ribosomal RNA". It matches the Rfam family "Bacterial small subunit ribosomal RNA", at positions 355 to 776 of the family's 1533-position model. The record is from RNAcentral. Lineage: Bacteria; Bacillati; Chloroflexota.
UGGGGAAUAUUGCACAAUGGGCGCAAGCCUGAUGCAGCCAUGCCGCGUGUGUGAAGAAUGCCUUUGGGUUGUAAAGCACUUUCAGCGGGGAGGAAGGCGGUGAGGUUAAUAACCUCAUCGAUUGACGUUACCCGCAGAAGAAGCACCGGCUAACUCCGUGCCAGCAGCCGCGGUAAUACGGAGGGUGCAAGCGUUAAUCGGAAUUACUGGGCGUAAAGCGCACGCAGGCGGUCUGUCAAGUCGGAUGUGAAAUCCGCGGACUCGACCUGGGAACUGCAUUCGAAACUGGCAGGCUAGAGUCUUGUAGAGGGGGUUAGAAUUACAGGUGUAGCGAUGAAAUGCGUAGAGAUCUGGAGGAAUACCGGUGGCGAAGGCGGCGCCCUGGACUAAGACUGACGCUCAGGUGCGAAAGAGUGGGGAGCAAACAGG